This 457-nucleotide ribosomal RNA is filed under the name uncultured bacterium. RNAcentral's name for it is "partial 16S ribosomal RNA". It matches the Rfam family "Bacterial small subunit ribosomal RNA", at positions 338 to 795 of the family's 1533-position model. The record is from RNAcentral.
CCUACGGGUGGCUGCAGUGGGGAAUAUUGCACAAUGGGGGAAACCCUGAUGCAGCGACGCCGCGUGAGUGAAGAAGUAUUUCGGUAUGUAAAGCUCUAUCAGCAGGGAAGAAAUAAAUUCCUUCGGACUUUGGACGGUACCUGACUAAGAAGCACCGGCUAACUACGUGUCAGCAGCCGCGGUAAUACGUAGGGGGCAAGCGUUAUCCGGAUUUACUGGGUGUAAAGGGAGCGUAUACGGCAGCGCAAGUCUGGAUUGAAAUUCCAUGGCUUAACCAUGGAACUGCUUUGGAAACUGUGCAGCUGGAGUGCAGGAGAGGUAAGCGGAAUUCCUAGUGUAGCGGUGAAAUGCGUAGAUAUUAGGAGGAACACCAGUGGCGAAGGCGGCUUACUGGACUGUAACUGACGUUGAGGCUCGAAAGCGUGGGGAGCAAACAGGAUUAGAUACCCCGGUAGUC